UGUUUACUUGUAUGAUGAAGAAUAUGUUGGUAGGGACAUCUGAGAAAAUCUGAUGAAUGCCAACAUUUCUGACAUGUAGCA
Molecule: small nucleolar RNA, 81 nt
Organism: Danio rerio (zebrafish)
Lineage: Eukaryota; Metazoa; Chordata; Actinopteri; Cypriniformes; Danionidae
Source: Ensembl